CCUUUUCUUACGAGAUAAGCUUUUGGCUUGUGUAGUAUUCGGUGUAGCCCCAUCAACACUCUCACCACUAUUAUGAGAUACAGUAGGCUCAUCUCUCAUUCUCUGCAAGUUAACAGUCUCGCAACUAUUAUGAGGAAAAGUUGAUCUCUUACCGGAAAGACUACUCCCACCUCUAGUUCUCACCAUAGCUGGAAAAGAAAAAAAACUUUUAAUUAAGUAUAGGAUAAAUAAAAGAAAUUAUUCAAGAUGAUGUUGUAAUGCAAUUUCAAAAUUAUUCACUACUCUACUAGCUCCAAAAUCGAUUAGCAUCUUACUUGUUUGCAAGACAGUAGCAUUCAACAGUACAAAGAACAAUUUAUAUACCCAACAUAUACAAAAUAAUCACAUAAAAUUUACAAGCUAUCACAAAAUAAUCACAUAAAAUCAGAAAGCACUAUCAUGUUUCAGUGGCUACUUAUAUAAUAGCCUCUCUUUUUUUAAUAGAAAACAUAGCAUAGAUUAUUGCAUCUACUAAAAUAAACAAUCAUAUAUAUUUCAUCAUAUAUAUUUCAUAUUCAGGAAAAAAGAGAAAAUCAGAAAGCACUAUCAUGUUUAUGCACAAAAUAAUGUGUAUCAAGUGUUAAGUAUUGUUCAAGGUGGGAUGAAACUUAGAAGUUUUUGGAAGAAAAACAUAAGACAAUCAAGAAAUCUUAAUUUCAUGUUCAUGUUCAUCUAUGACAUUUAGGGGAAAUGAACUGAAAAGCGGCCAAACAUGGCAUGACUUCAACUGUACCUAGAUUGUGGGUAGGUUUUGCAAAAAUAAAUCCAUGUUGUAACUAUAUACACAUAUUUAACUAAUUUGUAUGACUUUGCUACAUUAUACUUGUUACAUUAUACUUAUAAUUAUAUUGUUUUGUAAAAAUCAGUUACAUACAAUGACUUUGCUAUCUAUGCUCCCUUUAUUCCAUUAGUUUGGCAAUGAGUAUUUACAUGAUUUUAACCAAUAAUAGAAUGUGUUUUAAUAAGAUUAAUUAGUUCUGAUUUUGCUUUUGAAUAUAUAUGCCUUCUGCUAUAUAUUUUAAUUUGAUCAAGCAUUAAUUGGCCAACUGCCAUUGUAGCAUAUUUUAAUAAACAUUUAUGGGGCUUUACUAUUUUUUUUUCUUACUGUAUUUUACAGUUACUACUUAGGAAAUCAUUAAUAAGCAAAUCAUGUUUGUAACCAUCUAGUGGAUAUGGUUUCUAGUAUUAAAGAGAGUUAUGUUGUAGCAUAGUUGGGCUUUUGAGUUUGAAUUGUACUCUGAAUAAGUAGAUACAAUGUAUUUUGUUGUUUUAUUUGGCUGUUGAUGCUCAACAUUAGUUUUUUACUUUCUUGUAGAGCAGCAAUCACUUUAUAGUACAUUUGGUCUUUGAUUGCAUAACUGUGGAAAAACCUGAAAGAUGAUUGGCUCAUUUAUUCAUCUAUAUUUUGGUGUUAAUAGGGUGCACUAUGCAGAAAGUGGUGAAGAAAGCAUAGAGACAGAGUAAUAGACACCUUGUUUUCUGUAUUUAAUUCCCUUCCCAUCUCUUCUAACCAAAAAAGGAAAAGAAAAGUUUCACUGUUCUAUAAGAAUUUUGAGUUGUAAUAUUUGUAAUAGACACCUUGUUUGCAUAUGAGUUUGAGAUUAAUUAAACAAAUUGGAUAGAAAUUUUGACAAAAUAAAACCAAGUAUAAGUUAAAGUCAGAGGGUAACAACUGGAAUUAGGAUAAAACAAAUGAAAUACAUAACCAGCCAAAACAUAAUAUAAAAUCAAAUUCCUUUCAUAUACCAAAUUUGUCUCUAUAGGCCCAAACAAAUAAAUUGAAAUACAAGAUUUGUAUAUAUAUUUAAUAUCAAUCUGGUAGGAUAAUAAUUAAAGUAAAUAUUAAUUGAAUUACAAAUAAAAGAAUACAAAAUGAAUGUCAAAUUAAUGAAAUAAUGAGUAACCCUUCCAUUCCAACAAAAGAAGAAUUCCAAUUUAAGUCUUUUCCUAAUCAGUUUUAUAUUAGAUUUGUUUAUAAACUACACUUCUUUCUCAAUCAAAGUAAUUAACUAACAAAGUUUCAUAUAUAUUCAUGCAUACAUAUACGUACGUAAUUAACUUACAAACAUAUAUAAAUUGAGGGACAUAUGUAUGUUAAAUCUCCACAAACACAUGAACAAUCAAAUUGUCAAUAACAGUUCGUAAAACAUCUCUAUAAAAACAGGAAUUGGGGCCAAUUUCGAAUAGAGAAAGCAUAAUCACAAUUCUAAAAUAAGAAUUGGGGAAAAAUUAGAACAGAGACAGGAAAGAGGGAGAGAAUAAACACCCAAGGAGAGGACUUACCUUCGAAAUCACAACCUUAACUGGGCAACUUUGGUAGAAGAUGGGUCUAGGGUUUCAG
RNAcentral lists this long non-coding RNA (2380 nucleotides) under Panax ginseng (ginseng). Its description in RNAcentral is "long non-coding RNA (PGIN_LNC002103)". The record is from RNAcentral. Lineage: Eukaryota; Viridiplantae; Streptophyta; Magnoliopsida; Apiales; Araliaceae.